RNAcentral lists this ribosomal RNA (254 nucleotides) under uncultured bacterium. RNAcentral describes it as "partial 16S ribosomal RNA". It matches the Rfam family "Bacterial small subunit ribosomal RNA", at positions 524 to 776 of the family's 1533-position model. The record is from RNAcentral.
UACGAGGGGAGCAAGCGUUGUUCGGAUUUACUGGGCGUAAAGGGCGCGUAGGCGGCCACGACAAGUCACUUGUGAAAUCUCCGGGCUUAACUCGGAACGGUCAAGUGAUACUGUCGGGCUAGAGUACAGAAGGGGCAACUGGAAUUCUCGGUGUAGCGGUGAAAUGCGUAGAUAUCGAGAGGAACACCUGUGGCGAAAGCGGCUCACUGGACCACAACUGACGCUGAGGCGCGAAAGCUAAGGGAGCAAACAGG